RNAcentral lists this long non-coding RNA (1012 nucleotides) under Papio anubis (olive baboon). RNAcentral's name for it is "lncRNA (ENSPANG00000042207.1)". The record is from RNAcentral. Lineage: Eukaryota; Metazoa; Chordata; Mammalia; Primates; Cercopithecidae.
UUCUAAUCAUGGGCUCAUCUAAGCCUUCCCAGGAAUCCAAGCCCUGUGACUCUGAUGGUCCUUCAGACAGGAAAGAAAUGCAGACCCAGGUGGGUACAGAAGAAGAGGCGGUAGUUUAUCCUCCCUCAGCUCCUUUCAUGGAAUUGAGAUAAACAGACCUGCAGUGAUUUUCUGCAAAUGGAGGGGUAUCCCUUGCUCCCACCACCCCUGUACUCACUCCAAAGAUCAUUGUUUGCCCCAAAUGUCAAAUAUAGUUCAAAAGGAAGCAGAUCAUAGCUGGAAUCUGGCUCUGUUGGACACUAGCUGUGUCUUUUGGGCAAAUUAAUUCUCCCCUCCAAGUCCCUGAGCUGAGGGAGAAGAAAGAGAAAGGGCCAUCUUUGAGAAACGGUGUUAUUUGAGUUGAGUAGAAAGACGCUGGGAAAUCAGCCUUUUUGGCUAGAGGCACAGUCAGUAACUCCUCCAGGGGUCUUCUAAGUCCAAAGCCCCCAAAGAGGGCUGAGCUGGGAGCAGACAGAGCCCUCUGUGGCUGUGCAGAUGGAGACAGCUUGAUGAGAGCCAAGCCUUCUUCUCCCCGUGUGCAAUCUGCUGCUGAUAGAGACAGCAAAGGCUGGAGCUUGGCAGAAAGGUGACUUGUCAAAUAGGCAGCCUCCAUGCAUGCUUAAGACCUAGAUUUUUUUUUCAAAAAGUACAUAUACUAACUCCAAGAGGACUGUCCUUGAAAGCAGAACAGCUGCUGCAUUUUCUCUGUGAAGAUGUCACCUGUAACUCUCACAACUUCUAUUUUUCUGAUGCUAGGCAACAAUCAUAACAAACCAUUUUCACCAGUAAAAACUUGCAUCUGCAAUCACAGUUAAUCUGCAUGUUUUUAAAAACUGUAUUUCAGAAAGGGUCUCCAGUCCUCCAACAUAACAUCCAAAACACUCGUUCUCUUGUGAGAGAUGUAAACAUGUAAGUGAGAUAGAUAAGGCAUGCAGCUGGGAUGAGAUCCAUUUAUUAUGAACACGUGGAGCAG